CACGAGCGCAACCCUCGCCUUUAGUUGCCAGCAUGUUGGGGUGGGCACUCUAAAGGAACUGCCGGUGACAAGCCGGAGGAAGGUGGGGAUGACGUCAAGUCCUCAUGGCCCUUAUGUCCUGGGCUACACACGUGCUACAAUGGCGGUGACAGUGGGAAGCCAGGCAGCGAUGCCGAGCUGAUCUCCAAAAGCCGUCUCAGUUCGGAUUGCACUCUGCAACUCGGGUGCAUGAAGGUGGAAUCGCUAGUAAUCGUGGAUCAGCAUGCCACGGUGAAUACGUUCCCGGGCCUUGUACACACCGCCCGU
RNAcentral lists this ribosomal RNA (306 nucleotides) under uncultured Alphaproteobacteria bacterium. Its description in RNAcentral is "bacterial SSU rRNA". It matches the Rfam family "Bacterial small subunit ribosomal RNA", at positions 1091 to 1397 of the family's 1533-position model. Lineage: Bacteria; Pseudomonadati; Pseudomonadota; Alphaproteobacteria. The record is from RNAcentral.